AGCGUCAGGUUGGCGCUGCGCAGCUCGGGGUCCUUGGUGAGGUCGAGCGUGCGGCAGUAGGGCGGCUCGUUGAGGUAGCGGUUGAGGGAGCUGCGGAUGCUGAUGAGCGACGACUUGCUGUAGAGCUGGCCGCUCUUGGAGCGCGCCUCGGCGUAGAAGGAGCGCAGCACGCGGCACAGCGCCCCCUUGUCCAUGGUCUCGAAGUCCGGGCUCUGCGCCUUCUCGCUCAGCCUUUUCAGAUGCUGCCUGGACAGUUUGCAAACCACCGGCAGGCCUCCCGCCGGCAUCACGGACCAAGGACGCACCUUGGAGAGCGCGCCGGGCCCUGGUCCGACCGAGGCUGAGUCGGCUCCUGGCGCCAGUCCUUGACCCGCUUCCAAAAUCCUCUGCCAUCACAUGUUGGAAAACACCUCUUGAGAGUUUCACUACUGAAUUCCUUGGACUUCCAUUGAAGACCGUCUUGAGCAAUGUUUUUCUGAACUCGGAUGAAAACAGAACCCGUGCCAUGCAACUCUACAAAGUGGAAGAAGAAAAUUUCAGAAGAGCAAGGUCUAUGUCUUAUCGGUCACGGCGGGCCUGAUUCCCUGCCAGCAGAGUUCCCGAGCAUGUGGCUGGCACACGGUGGACGCCCGUCUCCUAGAUGUUUUUAAAGCAAGUAGUCUGAGGGGAACGUAGUUCUCCAGAAGGCCAUUGUGUUCUUGUGGAGCCUAAGAUAUUCUGCUGUCAUCGUAUUCUGAUAACAAAACUUCAUCUGCUCAAUAAAGAAGUCCAGGGUGAGGGCUGUCAACGUUCAAGUAAAAUUAAUAUAGUUUCUUUACCUUCGUAACAUAUCUUUAAAGGGUGUGUAGGACUGAAGUGGAUGUUAGUCCUAUUAUUCAAUGACCUUUAUUUCAGUGUCACUGCAAUACUAAUUAAGGUGGAAACGGAGAUAUGUGUUAAUGUCUUGUAACAAAUACAUGUAUUUUAAAUAAUGGAGGAGCCAUGAAAGCGUUCAUAUUCUAGGGCCCAGAAAUUGCCUCUGGGAAUUCAUCUUCUUAAGAAAUACCGAGUUCUAUUUGCAUUUUGGUCAAGUUGGGCUCAUUGCACAGAGACAACUUGGGCAGGUGGGUUUCAGUGUGUGUGCAGUGUGCUCCGCAGCCGCCUGUCCCGAUGGCGGAGACCUGCCUCUGCUCACAGGCGUUAGAGAGCUCGCGGUCGCUGGGUGAAGCGAGGGAGACGCAGGGAGGCCUGUGCUGUAUCGGGCCAGGCGCCUUGGAGGGCGAUCCAUCCGUAUGACGGUGGAGACAAAGGAUGUGAAGGAAAAGGGCAAAGCAGGAUCCGCUCAAAGCUCCUAUGGCCACGCCUUCGUGACUUUGAGAACGUUCAGGACCAGAUUUGGAAGCUCUGGAUGUCGGAACUGAGUACCUGGGAAUCUGGUGGCAAUUCAGGGAUGUGCUGAGGAGCGGGUCUAGGCCUGCCCCGUGGCUAUGUUUCUAAAUGAACUAAAAAAGAAAAAAAAAAUCCCCUUUUAAAUACCCAGAAGCACUAACCCACAUUUUGAACUAAUUGACUUGCUUUUUCUUAGGAAAGCUUAAUUUAGCCGUGAGGGGCGCAUCUGAAUAUUUAAAGACGCCCUGGAUGGGUUUGUUCUAUUUCUUUACUUUGAUGCUGGAGACCCAGGCUUGGCACCGGACAGGGGAGGACAGCCCUGGAGAGGGGCGGGGGCA
Long non-coding RNA from Myotis brandtii (Brandt's bat), 1706 nucleotides. RefSeq lists it as uncharacterized. Lineage: Eukaryota; Metazoa; Chordata; Mammalia; Chiroptera; Vespertilionidae. The record is from RefSeq and is a predicted model, not a curated record. The transcript has 4 exons.